RNAcentral lists this ribosomal RNA (328 nucleotides) under uncultured bacterium. RNAcentral describes it as "bacterial SSU rRNA". It matches the Rfam family "Bacterial small subunit ribosomal RNA", at positions 568 to 898 of the family's 1533-position model. The record is from RNAcentral.
CGUGUAGGCGGUGCGGUAAGUUGGGCGUGAAAUCCCCGAGCUUAACUCGGGUGGGCCGUUCAAGACUGCCGUGCUAGGGUGCGGGAGAGGGAAGUGGAAUUUCCGGUGUAGCGGUGAAAUGCGUAGAUAUCGGGAGGAACACCUGCGGCGAAGGCGGCUUCCUGGACCGUAACCGACGCUGAGGCGCGAAAGCUAGGGGAGCAAACAGGAUUAGAUACCCUGGUAGUCCUAGCCCUAAACGAUGAGCACUGGGUGUGGCCCCUCACGAGGCCGUGCCGAAGCUAACGCAUUAAGUGCUCCGCCUGGGGAGUACGGUCGCAGGGCUGAA